Molecule: ribosomal RNA, 447 nt
Filed under: uncultured bacterium
Lineage: Bacteria
Description: partial 16S ribosomal RNA
Rfam family: Bacterial small subunit ribosomal RNA
Source: RNAcentral
CCUACGGGAGGCAGCAGUCGAGAAUCAUUCACAAUGGGGGAAACCCUGAUGGUGCGACGCCGCGUGGGGGAAUGAAGGUCUUCGGAUUGUAAACCCCUGUCAUGUGGGAGCAAAUUAAAAAGAUAGUACCACAAGAGGAAGAGACGGCUAACUCUGUGCCAGCAGCCGCGGUAAUACAGAUGUCUCAAGCGUUGUUCGGGAUCACUGGGCGUAAAGCGUGCGUAGGCUGUUUCGUAAGUCGUGUGUGGAAAGCGCGGGCUCAACCCGCGGACGGCACAUGAUACUGCGAGACUAGAGGAAUGGAGGAGGAGGCGGAAUUCUCGGUGGAGCAGUGAAAUGCGUAGAUAACGAGAGGAACACUCGAGGCGAAGGCGGGUUCCUGGGCAUUAACUGACGCUGAGGCACGAAGGCCAGGGGAGCGAAAGGGAUUAGAUACCCGAGGUAGUC